Molecule: transfer RNA, 90 nt
Filed under: Elusimicrobia bacterium CG11_big_fil_rev_8_21_14_0_20_64_6
Lineage: Bacteria; Pseudomonadati; Elusimicrobiota
Also listed under: 2 other names
Description: tRNA-Ser
Rfam family: tRNA
About the family: Transfer RNA (tRNA) molecules are approximately 80 nucleotides in length. Their secondary structure includes four short double-helical elements and three loops (D, anti-codon, and T loops). Further hydrogen bonds mediate the characteristic L-shaped molecular structure. tRNAs have two regions of fundamental functional importance: the anti-codon, which is responsible for specific mRNA codon recognition, and the 3' end, to which the tRNAs corresponding amino acid is attached (by aminoacyl-tRNA synthetases). tRNAs cope with the degeneracy of the genetic code in two manners: having more than one tRNA (with a specific anti-codon) for a particular amino acid; and 'wobble' base-pairing, i.e. permitting non-standard base-pairing at the 3rd anti-codon position.
Source: RNAcentral
GGAAGGGUGACCGAGCGGUUGAAGGUAGCAGUCUCGAAAACUGCCAAGGGGGCAACUCCUUCGAGGGUUCGAAUCCCUCCCCUUCCGCCA